Long non-coding RNA from Haliotis rufescens (red abalone), 251 nucleotides. RefSeq lists it as uncharacterized. NCBI's taxonomy places the organism in Eukaryota, Metazoa, Mollusca, Gastropoda, Lepetellida, Haliotidae. The transcript is spliced from 3 exons. The record is from RefSeq and is a predicted model, not a curated record.
CGUCUUCUCCGGUAUUCAGCGAAAUCCCGAUUGACAUGGAUAUCAGCCAAAUAAAGGACGUGAACUGUUCCGGUGCUGCCGCUCCUGCAGAUGAAACGAUGGACCUUGAUCUGACGUCACUCGACCAUACAGCCAACGAUACAUCAGUCGAGAUAAUAGCACCUCCUGUGUCCACCAUGGAGGAUUCAUCUCUCACUCCAAGUAAUGAUGAGCUGUCCCUACAGGAUUCAUCACCAAGUGUCCGUGGUUCC